Long non-coding RNA from Triticum aestivum (bread wheat), 1944 nucleotides. RefSeq lists it as uncharacterized. The transcript has 4 exons. Lineage: Eukaryota; Viridiplantae; Streptophyta; Magnoliopsida; Poales; Poaceae. The record is from RefSeq and is a predicted model, not a curated record.
UGUUUCUGUACAUGCUUAUCGGAGAUCUUCAGAAUGGAGCAGGACAUCUGCUCAGGGAAUUAAUUCAGAAUUGAGUGUUCUCUCCAAAAGAAAAUUCGGUAUAGGUGGAGAGGCCCUCGCGUCGCCCGGGCAGGCGACUCGGGGGCGACUAGGGUUUGCCUCCUGCCGCCACCUUCCCCAUCCACCUCCCCCCUUGCUGCCACCCAAGACGGCCGUCGGACAAGCCCGUGCGGGUGCCGGUGAUGGUGGCGGCAGGGAUCUAGUCGCUCUACCCCUUGGUGGAAGACUGCGGAUCCUAGGCGCGCGCGGGAGGUAAAGCUGGUCGGAGGCUUGGCCGUGAGGGCGGUGAGCCACCGGCGGGAGUUGGUCGCCACGCAGUGCUACCCUGCGUCAGAUCUGGAGGUCCCGGUUGGUACUGCCAGCAGCCUUGCCGGUCCAAGCAAUCAAGAUCAUCAGCAAGUCAAUAACGGAGACGGUCGAGCACUGUCAUCACACUGAACCUGCAACACCAGUGAGAUGACUGAAGAUUGGGUUGUGGUUGGAGUGAGAGGAGAAGCAAAUCACUUGACCAGUUGAAUCCUUGGGUGUACAAGACGGCCGAGCUGUGACAGGUGAAGGAGCCACUGCCGCUGCCCGCGCCGAAGAAGCGCAACUGCUCCAUGGUGUUCACCCUCAAGGAGAUGGAGGAGGCCACCGGCAUGUUCAGGAGAACUUCCUCUUUGGUUCGAUACACAUAUAUUAUUUAACUGUGAUUUAGAGUUAUGAUUAUUUGAUGUGGCGAACAUAGAAUCCUGCCUGCGCAUUUCUGUGAUUAUUUUGUACCCUGAAUUCAAGUAAAUUAAGUUGCCUGUACCAAGUUGAGUAUUUAGUUCGAUGAGUAAUUUUCUGUCUGGAGAUGAUGAGCAGAGCAUAAAAAUGAUUGCUUAUCUGUAUACUGUUGUUGCUGUAGUUUAAAAGGCUUAAGAUCUUCUACUCACAUGCUUGUUUAUCUCACAUCUCUGAGCCAAAGUUAUCUCACAUGCUUGUUUAUUCAAUAUUUUUCUGACAUACGCGUAAUACAGAUGGCGUGCCCAAAGUGAAAUCUGACCGGAGACUUUGAAAGAUCAGAGGAGGGCUUAAGGACCUGCAGUAUCAUGGUGAUUUCAUAUCAAAAUCGAGGAGUACUCCUGUUCAUUUGGAGAACUCAAACAGCAAUUGAUAUGCAUCAAAAUUGGGAUCAACAGUAGCAUGGGGCCUUAUCAUUCUGGUUUUUGGAUGACUUAGUUAAUCAAAUUCCUCAAUUGAGGAACACCUGAACUUGUCAUUCCGGUCUUGGGAUCAACAGUAGCAUAUGGACUUAUCAUUCUGGCUUUUGGAUGAUUUAGUUAAUCAAAUUGACAUCAAUUGACCUGUUUUUUGGAUCAAUUGCAGAUUCUCUUGAUUGGAGUGGAGAGGAGCAGAGACGAGAGGAGCAGCAGAAGUGGACAGCGCAACGGCUGACUUUGAGCUCUUGAUUGGAGUGGGGGAGGCGGCCGACGAAGGAUCUGUGGCCAGCAGCGAAGGAUCCGAAGUUGUGGCGGAGCAGGCAGCCGGCGGGAAGGGCGGCCGGCGAGGGAGCUGCGGACCUUGGCGUGGAAGGGCGGCCGAUGAGGGAGCUGCGGACCGCGGCGGGGAAGGACGCCGGAUGAGCCCGGCGAAAGGGAGCAGCGACGGCGGAGAAGCCUGGCGUAGGGGAGGAGCGACGGAGGAAGACGCCUCCCGAUGGAUUUCAAAUCGGGGGUAGUAUUGUACUUUCACACUAUUUCACCUGGUCGGAGUGAUGCCCCCAACGACAAUUAUUUCGGAACGGAGGGAGUAAUACAAAGGAUGUUGUUCUCCUAGAAAUAGCACGCCAAGUUAGCACUACAUAACAACCACUACUAUUUGCUGAUCAACCAGAAUAUACACGGAUGGAAAACUACUUGA